This 433-nucleotide ribosomal RNA is filed under the name uncultured bacterium. RNAcentral describes it as "bacterial SSU rRNA". It matches the Rfam family "Bacterial small subunit ribosomal RNA", at positions 342 to 791 of the family's 1533-position model. The record is from RNAcentral.
CUGGAGGCAGCAGUGGGGAAUUUUCGGCAAUGGGGGCAACCCUGACCGAGCAACGCCGCGUGCAGGACGAAGGUUUUCGGAUCGUAAACUGCUUUUCUUGGGGACGAGCAAGGACGGUACCCAAGGAAUCAGCCCCGGCUAACUACGUGCCAGCAGCCGCGGUAAUACGUAGGGGGCGAGCGUUAUCCGGAGUUACUGGGCGUAAAGGGCACGCAGGCGGUCGUGUAAGUUUGGGGUUACAGCUCCCGGCUCAACUGGGAGAGCGCCUUGAAGACUGCAGGACUUGAGGGCCACAGAGGGACACAGAAUUCCGGGUGUAGUGGUGAAAUGCGUAGAUAUCCGGAGGAAUACCAAAGGCGAAGGCAGUGUCCUGGGUGGCACCUGACGCUCAGGUGCGAAAGCUAGGGGAGCGAACGGGAUUAGAUACCCCGGU